CGCUGGCGGCGUGCCUAAUACAUGCAAGUCGAACGGUCUUUCUAUGGAAGCUUGCUUCCACUGAGAAGAUAGUGGCGAACGGGUGAGUAACACGUGGGUAACCUGCCCAUAAGAGGGGGAUAACAUCCGGAAACGGGUGCUAAUACCGCAUAGUUUUCUUGAUUGCAUGAUUGAGAAAGGAAAGACGGCCUUUGUGCUGUCGCUUAUGGAUGGACCCGCGGCGUAUUAGUUAGUUGGUGAGGUAACGGCUCACCAAGACGAUGAUACGUAGCCGACCUGAGAGGGUGAUCGGCCACAUUGGGACUGAGACACGGCCCAAACUCCUACGGGAGGCAGCAGUAGGGAAUCUUCCGCAAUGGACGAAAGUCUGACGGAGCAACGCCGCGUGAGUGAAGAAAAGGUUUUCGGAUCGUAAAACUCUGUUGUCAGAGAAGAACAAGUUGGAGAGUAACUGCUCCAGCCUUGACGGUAUCUGACCAGAAAGCCACGGCUAACUACGUGCCAGCAGCGGC
This 512-nucleotide ribosomal RNA is filed under the name uncultured bacterium. Its description in RNAcentral is "bacterial SSU rRNA". It matches the Rfam family "Bacterial small subunit ribosomal RNA", at positions 34 to 518 of the family's 1533-position model. The record is from RNAcentral.